This 1121-nucleotide non-coding RNA is filed under the name Caenorhabditis japonica. RNAcentral describes it as "Eukaryotic large subunit ribosomal RNA". It matches the Rfam family "Eukaryotic large subunit ribosomal RNA", at positions 736 to 1806 of the family's 3401-position model. The record is from Rfam by way of RNAcentral. Lineage: Eukaryota; Metazoa; Nematoda; Chromadorea; Rhabditida; Rhabditidae.
UGGGAUCCGUGCUCUUCGGAGUGCGGCGCACCACGGCCCUAUGCGUGUCACUUGUGACUGUGUAGAGGUUGAGCAGUAGGCAAGCGACCCGAAAGAUGGUGAACUAUGCCUGAGCAGGAUGAAGCCAGAGGAAACUCUGGUGGAAGUCCGUAUCGGUUCUGACGUGCAAAUCGAUCGAUAGACUUGGGUAUAGGGGCGAAAGACUAAUCGAACCAUCUAGUAGCUGGUUCCUUCCGAAGUUUCCCUCAGGAUAGCUGGAACUCUUGCAGUUAUAUUCGGUAAAGCUAAUGAUUAGAGGCCUUGGGGACGUAAUGUCCUCAACCUAUUCUCAAACUUUCAAUGGAUAUGGCGUCGCAGUUUCUUUAGUGAACUGCGGCGUGAAUGCGAGUUCCAAGUGGGCCAUUUUUGGUAAGCAGAACUGGCGCUGUGGGAUGAACCAAACGUGGAGUUAAGGUGCCUAACUUCUCGCUUAUGAGACCCCAUAAAAGGUGUUGGUUGAUAUUGACAGCAGGACGGUGGCCAUGGAAGUCGGUACCCGCUAAGGAGUGUGUAACAACUCACCUGCCGAAUCAACUAGCCCUGAAAAUGGAUGGCGCUUAAGCGAGAGACCUAUACUCCGCCGUCGCGGCAUGUGCGUUGUCUAGCGCCAGGUCGACGACGAGUAGGAAGGACGUGGCGGUUGCGUUGAAGGCUAUGAGCGUAGGCUCGGCUGGAGCUUCCGUCAGUGCAGAUCGUAAUGGUAGUAGCAAAUUAUUCAAGUUCGAUCCUUGAAGACUGAAGUGGAGAAGGGUUCCACGUGAACAGUAGUUGGAUGUGGGUCAGUCGAUCCUAAGGUACUGGCGAAAGCCUUGUAUCAUCGGUGGCGAAAAGCUUGCUUUUUGUCCCCGCCCGUCGAAAGGGAAUAGGGUUAAUAUUCCCUAACUGAGAUGCAAAGAUUGUGUUCUUCGGAGCACAAGCGCGGUAACGCGUUCGAACUUGGUAAGUCGCUCAGAGACCGAGCUAGAGUUUUCUUCUCUAGUUAAGGAACGGACUCCCUGGAAUUGGUUCAGCCAGAGAUGGGGACGUUGUUUCCGAAAAGCACCGCGGUUUCUGUGGUGUCUCGUGCUCUCUGAACGGCCCUU